This is a non-coding RNA of Triticum urartu, 3138 nucleotides long. Lineage: Eukaryota; Viridiplantae; Streptophyta; Magnoliopsida; Poales; Poaceae. The record is from RefSeq and is a predicted model, not a curated record.
CACCCAAUCCCCCUUCUCCCCAGGCCCCAGCCCCCACCAGACAAACCCUAGCCUCACCAAGCCCCACAUCUCGCGCUCCUCCCUCCUCCAUCCUCGUUAGCCGCCGCCGUCGUUCUGCCUCCCUCCUCUCUCUCCUACAACCACGCCGCCAGGAGGAAGCCGUCGUUCGUGGCGCCAUGCCGCUGCCGGGGUGUUGCACACGCAUCGUUCCCCAUAGCCCCUCCCUCAUCCUCGCUCGUCACCACCGCUGCAUGCUACUCCCCUCCACCAUCGUUGGUGCUUCUGGGUUGAAUCUGGCGUUGGUGGGUCGGAACUCGAGAUAGAGGUCGAGACGGGGAAGGUCAGAAAAAUGAGAGACCGGAUGGAGGUGCUCGAGAUAGAGGAAGCUGGAGAUGGUGAGAUCCCUCUCCCCAUAUCUAUUCUCUUAGUUUUUCCUCUUCAAACCUUCAUUGAUGGUCUAUCUCCCUCAACACAAUUAUCUUCAUUGUCCAUCCGGUGGUUGGAGCACGGGGCAACGCUCUGGUCGCGAUGGGGUUGAGCUGCGCAGGAGGGGGAGGAGGCUGGCGACAGGGAACCGGGCCAGGGAGGAGGCAAGGAAGAACGCACAGUCUGCACUGGGAUAUUAAUUUCCUUUCAUGGGAGGCCUUCAUUACAUUUCAGCGGCAGUUGCGGAUGUGGUCGGUGGUUGAGGGAGGGUCUCCGACUAGAGCAGCAGGAGCAAGGAGCUCGAGGAAGUUCAGGUUUAUGGCUUCUCACGGAUUGUGAUUCUGGUCAUGCUGCCUGUUAUGAAGGCUGAGGCGAGCAUCAUGGAGAUGAGCAGGCGAGUGGCUGAUACAGAGAGCUCCUCGAACAGGGAAGAGGCAUUGCUGGAGGAACUCGAAGAUGAGCUAGUCAAUUUUGGCAUGUCCAGUUCAUGUAACCUUUGCAUCUUUACAUAUCUUUGCCUUACUGCCAUUUUAUUUUUGCUGCUUUGGGGUUAGGUUCCGAAGUCAUGCCUUUGCCUUGCUAUUGUGCUGAUAUUGGAUGCAACAUUGUGGACCUUUGGUUCGAGCAUGGCCAGCAUGGCCACGGAUUGUAGGGGAGGAAUGUAUUGCCUAAUGAGUUGUAUGCUUUCUUCGGAUCCUCUGUGCUUCCUAUCACAUCUAUCUUGGCCACCUACAAAUUCUUGGGUCCAGGUGAGCUCUCCCUCCACUCUCCAAGUUUGGCUUGAUCUUUCUGGGCUAUUUGUGUAGGCUAGCCCCUUUCCUAAGUCUCUUAUUUUAUUAUGGAUCGUGGAAGCGGGAAGUGUAACUCACAUUUUUAGAACACUGAUCCUUUAGGUAUAUAUAGUUUGGUUUUCUGAAAGUGGAUUGCAUUUGCUUCCUGAUCACAUUGAAACAAGAGUGGAAACAACCAUCGUCCGCCGUCCGUUAUUCCUCCCUUAGGUUCCUGAUCUGAAGUGGAGGGAACACGAGGUCACAUCCGCAAAGUGGCGGAAGGGGGCUGCAACGUUUUUCUUCAGUCUGAUAAUCAUAUAGUAAUUAGACGGUGUAGUACUAUGGCGGUGGUAUACUGAUUUGGUGUAAGAAUCACUAACAUGACUUUACUUGUACAAAUCUUACAGGUUAAUGGUAUUAAGAAUUAGUAGCGUGUUUUUUUGUUUACUGCUGGAUUUGCUAACAAGUUGUCUCUUGUGUUGUUGUUCAUAUGUUGACUUGCUAUUUUUUGUUCAGUUGAAGGGUUCUCCAGGCUUAAGAUCUUUCUAGGAUAAUUGCGUCAUUGAAUCUGAAGAUAUUUGAUUGGUUUCUCAACUCAUGUAUCGAUAAGCAUUUUUUCAUCCUCAAUAUAUUGUUACUUACCUAACUUGUCGUACAUUUGUGAGGUUUCUGAGGAAGUUCACUUCUUGCACGCGGCGUAUAACUUGAGUUGCCUACAAAUGAUUUUGCCAGUUCGACGAAAACUUAAAAUAACCAAGGGAAAUUUCUCAGUUUUGUUGUUCUUGCUCUUCUCAGAUCUUAGGUUGGGGGUAUUAACAUAUAUGCCACACACUAAGUUUAGAUCUUAGUGUGAGAUUAAAUAGGGAUAAAUCCUUGUGCCAUGUUGAAGAAUUAGAAUUACAAAAAAGAAAGGAAAUAUUAAAGAAGGGAUAUGGUUGAUUAGGUUAUUUUGGUGUUUCUUUGUAAAUAAUGACAUGCUAACUUGCUGGUUUAAUUUAGGUGUGUGGAAUAUAGGAAAUACAAGGAGAGAUAUUCAGUUGCAAUCCAGCUUUAUUUUCAAAGUGAAACAUGGUAUACAUGCAUAGCAUGCUGGUCUUUUACUCUAUAGUUGUGUGUCGCCAUGGUGUCAACUUUGAACUUGCAAACUGAACUGUAAAAUGUUUUAAUGCCUUGGCGCAUGAAGUUUUCUUUGCCUGCUCUGACUACUUCAUUUAUGUUUAUUUAUCAGGUUAUGCAAUCUCCUGUGUUGCUGCAUGUUGAUCUUCUGUUUUGUUGUAACUCUGUUUUGCUGCUCGAGGACAAUUUCCUGGAUUAAUAUCUAUACUGGAGAUCUAGGAGUCCACCCGAAUUCAGUCUCCAAGAAGCCGUUCAUCCAGGAUCCACCAAAAUUCAAAUGAUAUGUGAAAAGUGUGUGCUAGAUGUGGCCCCUAUCCAGCGUUUUGAUUUGUCCACUCAGGUGCUUUUGUCUAGGUGGUAACACAACAAGUUGCUUAUCUUAUAGAAACUUAUUAUACAUACAGUCAUAUGUUCGUUCUGCUUGCAUGUUAGAGAAAGAGAUUCUGCCCCUAUGUGAGUAAUCCUAUGGGAAUUAGCAAUGUUGGUUGUACUUUCAAGCGGGCUGAAUCCAAUGCAAGUUUUUGGAGCAGUUGGGUUCCAGAACAAACGACUAGGUAUUCCCAAAGAGGUCAUUCCACUGGUGGCUAGCAUAAUACCUUCAUGUCGGGACAACGAUCCAAGCAAGCAACCAUCAUUCUACCAGCUGUUGUCAUCGUUGAAGAAAUUACAGUGGUUACAUUGUUACAGAAAGCCUAUGACAAUUUGCGAGUGUUGUUUGUGAAAUAUACUGGUUUUAUGGGAGGUGCAUGUAUGAAUUCAUAUGGUAGUGGUCUCCUUGUUUACAGUUAUAAGAAUAAUAAAAAUAUUGAUAAUGGUCUUUCCACUA